RNAcentral lists this ribosomal RNA (253 nucleotides) under uncultured bacterium. RNAcentral describes it as "partial 16S ribosomal RNA". It matches the Rfam family "Bacterial small subunit ribosomal RNA", at positions 524 to 776 of the family's 1533-position model. The record is from RNAcentral.
UACGAAGGGGGCUAGCGUUGUUCGGAAUUACUGGGCGUAAAGCGCACGUAGGCGGACUAUUAAGUCAGGGGUGAAAUCCCGGGGCUCAACCCCGGAACUGCCUUUGAUACUGGUAGUCUCGAGUCCGGAAGAGGUGAGUGGAAUUCCGAGUGUAGAGGUGAAAUUCGUAGAUAUUCGGAGGAACACCAGUGGCGAAGGCGGCUCACUGGCCCGGUACUGACGCUGAGGUGCGAAAGCGUGGGGAGCAAACAGG